CGGAUGAGGAAGUGGACCGCUUGGGGCAACAAUGACAUAAGGCCGUGUGAGGCCAAUAUGUUGGAGACACUAUACGGCCGAAUGCCUAAAGAAGAAGCUACACAAGAAGCCAAUGAAGAAGGAGUUCGACGACACUCAAAGCAUAUCCUUGGGGGCAAGGAUAUUUUUCAAGGAAGGGGGUUUGUUGAGGACCCACGCAAGCGACGCCGAGGUAGCGCCAAGCCGAGAGAGGACUAUGUGCCAACCGAGGGCCAAAGUGGCCAAAUGAUGUGUUUUGUGGCCAGCCGACCCUUAGCCGACCAUGAGGUUCAUCCACGACUCCGGCACCGCGUGGGAUCAGCCUGCGCGCCAGACCUCGCCCCAUCAACCCAACAGGCAAUCUCCACCUACGCUCUAAUCCGACCUCGGGGAGGGUCGGUCACCCAAGCCCCGGGCCUCGGAAGCUCAAGAGUAAACUCGCGCGGGAAGAAAAAUCGGGCCCUGCCGAAGGCCAAGCCGACCUCAGGCCAAGCCGACCUCGGGUCCUGCCGAAGGCCAAGCCGACCUCAGGCCAGGCCGACCUCAAGCCGAGCUGACCUCGGCCAGAGGCUAGGCCGACUUUCGGCCUUGUCGAAAGCUGAGCCGACCUCAGGCCAGGCCGACCUCGGACCCCGCCGAAGGCCGAGCCGACCUCGGCCAGACUGGGACAACCGGGUCGCACGACUCGGUCAACCGGGACACAUCCCGUGGAAAGACGAUUUUCCAUGUUUAUCUUAAGGAGAGUUACUUAAUUUUGUCUAGAGUCUUGGGUCAAUAAAUAAAGUUGUAAGGGGCCAUUAUGAGGCAUCCUAGAGCAAUCCCAGAGUUGAGUUUAGUCUUGUUUUCUUAUGAGAGUCGACCGUAAGGCUUGGGCGGUGUUUGUGCUGAUUUCGGUCCUUAGAUCUUGUUUUCUAGAACUUGGGCUAGUAGUAGAUGCAUCAAUCUCCACUAGAUUAGGUUAGAAAGGGAUCUCUUCAAUCCCUUGCUAGAUUUUUUUUGUUUUCUUUGUUCUUGUUAUUUGUUUUUCAAUUGAGUGGAAUAAAAUUCAGUUUGCCUACAUUGUUAAUCUUUGUAUUGAGUUAUUCC
RNAcentral lists this long non-coding RNA (1104 nucleotides) under Phoenix dactylifera (date palm). RNAcentral's name for it is "long non-coding RNA (PDAC_LNC006322)". The record is from RNAcentral. Lineage: Eukaryota; Viridiplantae; Streptophyta; Magnoliopsida; Arecales; Arecaceae.